Molecule: ribosomal RNA, 497 nt
Filed under: uncultured bacterium
Lineage: Bacteria
Description: partial 16S ribosomal RNA
Rfam family: Bacterial small subunit ribosomal RNA
Source: RNAcentral
GAUGAACGCUGGCGGCGUGCCUAAUACAUGCAAGCCGAGCGAACAGAUGAGGAGCUUGCUCCUCUGACGUUAGCGGCGGACGGGUGAGUAACACGUGGAUAACCUACCUAUAAGACUGGGAUAACUUCGGGAAACCGGAGCUAAUACCGGAUAAUAUAUUGAACCGCAUGGUUCAAUAGUGAAAGACGGUUUUGCUGUCACUUAUAGAUGGAUCCGCGCCGCAUUAGCUAGUUGGUAAGGUAACGGCUUACCAAGGCAACGAUGCGUAGCCGACCUGAGAGGGUGAUCGGCCACACUGGAACUGAGACACGGUCCAGACUCCUACGGGAGGCAGCAGUAGGGAAUCUUCCGCAAUGGGCGAAAGCCUGACGGAGCAACGCCGCGUGAGUGAUGAAGGUCUUCGGAUCGUAAAACUCUGUUAUUAGGGAAGAACAAAUGUGUAAGUAACUAUGCACGUCUUGACGGUACCUAAUCAGAAAGCCACGGCUAACUACGUG